RNAcentral lists this ribosomal RNA (423 nucleotides) under Colpoda steini. RNAcentral describes it as "SSU rRNA". The record is from RNAcentral. Lineage: Eukaryota; Ciliophora; Colpodea; Colpodida; Colpodidae.
CGCGGAGGUUUAACUUGACUCAACACGGGGAAUUUACCAGGUCCAGAAAUAGUUAGGAUUGACAGAUUGAAAGCUCUUUGUUGAUUCUAUGGGUGGUGGUGCAUGGCCGUUUUAGUUGGUGGAGUGAUUUGUGUGGUUAAUUCCGUUAASGAAGGAGACCUUAACYUGCUAAAUAGUUACUAUUAUGUAAAUAGGAGGAUAASUUGUUAGAGGGAYUUUGUGUGCAAGSASAAGGAAGUUUGAGGCAAUAACAGGUCUGUGAUGCCCUUAGAUGUCCUGGGCCGCAGGCGCGAUACASUGACAUAUGCAACAAGUUUUACUUUCCUGUCUAGGAAGAGUACGGGUAAUCUUGUAUAAUGUAUGUCGUGCUAGGGAUAGAUSUUUGGAAUUAUAGAUCUUGAACGAGGAAUUCCUAGUAAGCAU